Molecule: ribosomal RNA, 253 nt
Filed under: uncultured bacterium
Lineage: Bacteria
Description: partial 16S ribosomal RNA
Rfam family: Bacterial small subunit ribosomal RNA
Source: RNAcentral
UACGGGGGGAGCAAGCGUUGUUCGGAUUUACUGGGCGUAAAGGGCGCGUAGGCGGCCCUCCUUGUCGCGUGUGAAAGCCCCGGGCUCAACCUGGGAACGGCGCGCGAGACGGGGGGGCUGGAGUUCGGGAGAGGAGCGUGGAAUUCCCAGUGUAGAGGUGAAAUUCGUAGAUAUUGGGAAGAACACCGGUGGCGAAGGCGGCGCUCUGGACCGAGACUGACGCUGAGACGCGAAAGCGUGGGGAGCAAACAGG